This 497-nucleotide ribosomal RNA is filed under the name uncultured bacterium. RNAcentral's name for it is "partial 16S ribosomal RNA". It matches the Rfam family "Bacterial small subunit ribosomal RNA", at positions 28 to 507 of the family's 1533-position model. The record is from RNAcentral.
GAUGAACGCUGGCGGCGUGCCUAAUACAUGCAAGUCGAACGAACAGACGAGGAGCUUUCCCCUCUGACGUUAGCGUCGCAAGGGUGAGUGACACGUGUAUACCCUACCUAUAAGACUUGGAUAACUUCGGGAAAACCGAGUUAAUACCGGCUAAUAUAUCCAACCGCACGGUUCAAUAGCAAAAGACGGUGUUGCUGGCACUUAUUGAUGUCUCCGGGCCGCUUUAGCUAGUUGGUAAUGGAACGGCUUACCAAGGCAACGCUGCGUGGCGGACAUGAGCGAGGGAACGGCCACCCGGGAACGGGAACACGGUCCAGACUCCUACGGGAGGCAGAAGUAGGGAAUCUUCCGCAAGGGGGGAAGGCCGGACGGAGCAACGCGGCGUGAGUGAUGAGGGUCUUCGGAUCGUAAAACUCUGUAUUUAGGGAGGAAGAAAUGUGUAAGUAACAAUGCCGGUAUUGACGGUACCUAAUCAGAAAGCCACGGCUAACUACGUG